UGGAUGACAUGCUCUCAAACCUCGUGCCAUUCGUGAUCACUUAAAUCCAAUCUUGGACAAUUUAAAUCCAGGAAUUAUGGCACCCGAGAUUCAAGCAGCCCAUUUUGAGCUCAAACCUAUCAUGUUUAAUAUGAUAAAUUCCAUAGGGAAAUUUGGGGGCAUGCCAAAUGAAGAUGCCAGACAACAUAUUCGUAACUUC
This is a long non-coding RNA of Hibiscus syriacus, 199 nucleotides long. RefSeq lists it as uncharacterized. The transcript has 3 exons. The record is from RefSeq and is a predicted model, not a curated record. Lineage: Eukaryota; Viridiplantae; Streptophyta; Magnoliopsida; Malvales; Malvaceae.